This 694-nucleotide non-coding RNA is filed under the name Pongo abelii (Sumatran orangutan). The record is from RNAcentral. Lineage: Eukaryota; Metazoa; Chordata; Mammalia; Primates; Hominidae.
CCAUUUCUUCCCACCUUCUACUCCCAGCAAAAAAUGGAGCCCGACAUCACCCUCCCCACUUUGCUUGCUAAGCUGCAGCGCAGAAGGCACCACUACUGCGCCCCCCAGCAUGCUUUUUGGAGAGGACUGGAGCACACUGGGACGUUCAUGUGAGAAUCUGCAUGUGCCCCUCUCUGGAAUUUGAGGGAAGUACAUGGACACAGACUGCGUCUUGUUCCAACAUUUCCUUAGACAUGUCUGAAAGCCAGAAAGUGGCUGGCUGGAGCAAAUGGUCCCAUCAGGGAAAAGAAGGAGCAUGCACAACAUGAGGGGAAUGGGAGAGAAGGAAGUGGCUGCACUAUGCUACCGUUUCUGUGGUACCAUGUGACCCAAUACACAGGUGGGAGGAUGAGGUGGACGCAGUAGGGAUGCCCAGGCAGUAGCCCAAGCAAGUGGAUGCCCCAUCUGGAGAGAGGAAGUCAGGGAAGAAGAUUGCCUUCAGGAGACAAAGGAGAUACAGCUAUUGUCUCUAAGAAUCCUCAUGGAUGAUGGCCGUGCGCAGUGGCUCACGCUUGUAGUCCCAGCACUUUGGGAAGCUGAGGCGGGUGAAUAACCUGAGGGCAGUAGUCUGAGACCAGCCUGGUCAACACAGCAAAACCCCGUCUCUACUAAAAAUGCAAAAAUUAGCUGGCCAGCCAUGGUGGCGCAUGCCUGU